This 322-nucleotide ribosomal RNA is filed under the name uncultured Tremula. RNAcentral's name for it is "SSU rRNA". The stretch from base 105 to 322 matches the Rfam family "Eukaryotic small subunit ribosomal RNA", at positions 737 to 955 of the family's 1831-position model. The record is from RNAcentral. Lineage: Eukaryota; Cercozoa.
GAUUUCUGGCCUAGCGGAACUGGCCCGCCUCGAAAGAGUGUGUGUUGUCGGUUUCCGCUGGUCAUCUUUCUAGAAAACGCCUCUGCCCUUUACUGGGUCGGGGGCGCGAUCUAGAUCUUUUACUUUGAAAAAAUUAGAGUGUUCAAAGCAGGCUUUACGCUGUGAAUACAUUAGCAUGGAAUAAUAAGAUAGGGCUUUGGUACUAUUUUGUUGGUUUCUAGGACCAAAGUAAUGAUUGAUAGGGACAGUUGGGGGUGCUAGUAUUCAAUGGCCAGAGGUGAAAUUCUCGGAUUCAUUGAAGACUAACUUAUGCGAAAGCAUU